AAGCUAUCCGUUGUCCAAGUCCAUCUCUUCCAUCUCGCCCAUUCCUCAGCGACCAUGCACCUCAACCAAGAAGGGGCACGCAGCUGCUCUUCCCCAUCAGAACACCCAAACGAAGGUAUCCUCUGCGUUCCCGUUCUACAGUUCAAACUCAAGCUCUCAACAAUGCUCUCACUGUAGCUGCCAACCCCCCGGCAGCAGGAGGGAAUAUCUCAGUCCUGAUCCCAAUCAGGUAAGCACAGCUCUGCAUUACACCAUGGUUAGCAGGAGGGAAUAUCUAAGGGCCAUUUUAAGAGAACAUGAUUUGGCUAAAAUGCUAAAUAAACUUGAGGACCUGUUUUUCUGAACCAUUUUACUACUGCAUUAUAAUAGCGGCCUUAUAUCUCUAUAUUUGGUAUUCUGAUAAUAAUAUUACAGGCCGAAUAUAAUAAAGUUACAAUUUCUAGAUUCGCAUCAGUACAAAAAUAGCAGCCAUCAUUAAA
RNAcentral lists this long non-coding RNA (479 nucleotides) under Phoenix dactylifera (date palm). RNAcentral describes it as "long non-coding RNA (PDAC_LNC015517)". The record is from RNAcentral. Lineage: Eukaryota; Viridiplantae; Streptophyta; Magnoliopsida; Arecales; Arecaceae.